GCUCAACCGAGGAAGUGCUUCGAAAACUGGUAAACUUGAGUGCAGAAGAGGAAAGUGGAACUCCAUGUGUAGCGGUGGAAUGCGUAGAUAUAUGGAAGAACACCAGUGGCGAAGGCGGCUUUCUGGUCUGUAACUGACGCUGAGAUUCGAAAGCAUGGGUAGCAAACAGGAUUAGAUACCCUGGUAGUCCAUGCCGUAAACGAUGAGUGCUAAGUGUUGGAGGGUUUCCGCCCUUCAGUGCUGCAGCUAACGCAUUAAGCACUCCGCCUGGGGAGUACGACCGCAAGGUUGAAACUCAAAGGAAUUGACGGGGGCCCGCACAAGCGGUGGAGCAUGUGGUUUAAUUCGAAGCAACGCGAAGAACCUUACCAGGUCUUGACAUACCAUGAAAAGCUUAGAGAUAAGUCUUUCCCUUCGGGGACAUGGAUACAGGUGGUGCAUGGUUGUCGUCAGCUCGUGUCGUGAGAUGUUGGGUUAAGUCCCGCAACGAGCGCAACCCUUAUUAUCAGUUGCCAGCAUUCAGUUGGGCACUCUGGUGAGACUGCCGGUGACAAACCGGAGGAAGGUGGGGACGACGUCAAAUCAUCAUGCCCCUUAUGACCUGUGCUACACACGUGCUACAAUGGUCGGUACAACG
RNAcentral lists this ribosomal RNA (637 nucleotides) under uncultured bacterium. RNAcentral describes it as "bacterial SSU rRNA". It matches the Rfam family "Bacterial small subunit ribosomal RNA", at positions 607 to 1244 of the family's 1533-position model. The record is from RNAcentral.